CCUACGGGAGGCAGCAGUGGGGAAUAUUGCACAAUGGGGGAAACCCUGAUGCAGCGACGCCGCGUGAGUGAAGAAGUAAUUCGUUAUGUAAAGCUCUAUCAGCAGGGAAGAAAAUGACGGUACCUGAGUAAGAAGCCCCGGCUAACUACGUGCCAGCAGCCGCGGUAAUACGGGGGAUGCAAGCGUUAUCCGGAUUUAUUGGGUUUAAAGGGUGCGUAGGCGGGAAAGCAAGUCAGAUGUGAAAACUCAGGGCUCAACCCUGAGCCUGCAUUUGAAACUGUUUUUCUUGAGUGCUGGAGAGGCAAUCGGAAUGCCGGGUGUAGCGGUGAAAUGCGUAGAUAUACGGAGGAACACCAGUGGCGAAGGCGGAUUGCUGGACAGUAACUGACGCUGAGGCGCGAAAGCGUGGGGAGCAAACAGGAUUAGAUACCCUUGUAGUC
Molecule: ribosomal RNA, 440 nt
Filed under: uncultured bacterium
Lineage: Bacteria
Description: partial 16S ribosomal RNA
Rfam family: Bacterial small subunit ribosomal RNA
Source: RNAcentral